Molecule: ribosomal RNA, 563 nt
Filed under: uncultured bacterium
Lineage: Bacteria
Description: partial 16S ribosomal RNA
Rfam family: Bacterial small subunit ribosomal RNA
Source: RNAcentral
UGGGGAAUAUUGGACAAUGGGCGCAAGCCUGAUCCAGCCAUGCCGCGUGAGUGAUGAAGGCCUUAGGGUUGUAAAGCUCUUUCGCCGGUGAAGAUAAUGACGGUAACCGGAGAAGAAGCCCCGGCUAACUUCGUGCCAGCAGCCGCGGUAAUACGAAGGGGGCUAGCGUUGCUCGGAAUCACUGGGCGUAAAGCGCACGUAGGCGGAUCGUUAAGUCAGGGGUGAAAUCCUGGAGCUCAACUCCAGAACUGCCCUUGAUACUGGCGAUCUCGAGUUCGAGAGAGGUUGGUGGAACUCCGAGUGUAGAGGUGAAAUUCGUAGAUAUUCGGAAGAACACCAGUGGCGAAGGCGGCCAACUGGCUCGAUACUGACGCUGAGGUGCGAAAGCGUGGGGAGCAAAACAGGAUUAGAUACCCUGGUAGUCCACGCCGUAAAACGAUGGAUGCUAGCCGUUGGGGGGUUUACCUCUCAGUGGCGCAGCUAACGCCUUAAGCAUCCCGCCUGGGGAGUACGGUCGCAAGAUUAAAACUCAAAGGAAUUGACGGGGUCAUAGCUGUUUUCCU